AGGACUCCUGGCGGCGGGCAGUCAGCACUGGGGUCCAGGCUGGCAUUCCCAUGCCCUGUUUUACCACUGCCCUCUCCUUCUAUGACGGGUACAGACAUGAGAUGCUUCCAGCCAGCCUCAUCCAGGCUCAGCGGGAUUACUUCGGGGCUCACACCUAUGAACUCUUGGCCAAACCAGGGCAGUUUAUCCACACCAACUGGACAGGCCAUGGUGGCACUGUGUCAUCCUCGUCAUACAAUGCCUGAUCAUGCUGCUCCUGUCACCCUCCACGAUUCCACAGACCAGGACAUUCCAUGUGCCUCAUGGCACUGCCACCUGGCCCUUUGCCCUAUUUUCUGUUCAGUUUUUUAAAAGUGUUGUAAGAGACUCUUGAGGAAGACACACAGUUUAUUUGUAAAGUAGCUCUGUGAGAGCCACCGUGCCCUCUGCCCUUGCCUCUUGGGACUGACCAGGAGCUGCUCAUGUGCGUGAGAGUGGGAACCAUCCCCUUGCGGCAGUGGCUUCCGCGUGCCCCGUGUGCUGGUGCGGUUCCCAUCACGCAGACGGGAAGGGUGUUUACGCACUCUGAUCAACUGGAACCUCUGUAUCAUGUGGCUGAUUUCCCUUUUUCCUUUACUCAAUAAAAGCUACAUCAGACUGAUGCUCUUUCUCCAGAUUCUUAGUCUCACCUCGGCCACCUGGAGCCAUUAUCAUUAUCCCCAUUGGCAGAAAGAUUUUUCUUUAAAAAAAAAAGACUAGAAUAACACAAGAAACCACAUUUAGGAUUAUGCUUCACUCAGAGGAGGCAGGCAGGGAGGACGCACCAGGGGCUUUAAUACACUGGGCAUGUUUUCUUUCUCCAAUUGGGCAAUGGGUACAUGGACGUUCACUGUAACGUGCUUUUUCUUUCGUCUUUUUUUUUUUUUUUUUUGGCUCCUGGCAAGCUGUGCGUGACAUUCUUUAUGGCUUUUUGUAUGUCAAAUACUUCAUAAUAAACUUUCUAGAGAAUUAAACUUUAAUGAUG
Molecule: long non-coding RNA, 1003 nt
Filed under: Pan troglodytes (chimpanzee)
Lineage: Eukaryota; Metazoa; Chordata; Mammalia; Primates; Hominidae
Description: long non-coding RNA NONPTRT000094
Source: RNAcentral